AGAGUUUGAUCCUGGCUCAGGACGAACGCUGGCGGCGUGCUUAACACAUGCAAGUCGAACGGUAAGGCCCUUCGGGGUACACGAGUGGCGAACGGGUGAGUAACACGUGGGUAAUCUGCCCUGCACAUCGGGAUAAGCCUGGGAAACUGGGUCUAAUACCGAAUAGGACCACAGGACACAUGUCCUGUGGUGGAAAGCUUUUGCGGUGUGGGAUGGGCCCGCGGCCUAUCAGCUUGUUGGUGGGGUGAUGGCCUACCAAGGCGACGACGGGUAGCCGGCCUGAGAGGGUGUCCGGCCACACUGGGACUGAGAUACGGCCCAGACUCCUACGGGAGGCAGCAGUGGGGAAUAUUGCACAAUGGGCGAAAGCCUGAUGCAGCGACGCCGCGUGGGGGAUGACGGCCUUCGGGUUGUAAACCUCUUUCACCAUCGACGAAGGUCCGGGUUUUCUCGGGCUGACGGUAGGUGGAGAAGAAGCACCGGCCAACUACGUGCCAGCAGCCGCGGUAAUACGUAGGGCGCGAGCGUUGUCCGGAAUUACUGGGCGUAAAGAGCUCGUAGGUGGUUUGUCGCGUUGUUCGUGAAAUCUCACGGCUUAACUGUGAGCGUGCGGGCGAUACGGGCAGACUUGAGUACUGCAGGGGAGACUGGAAUUCCUGGUGUAGCGGUGGAAUGCGCAGAUAUCAGGAGGAACACCGGUGGCGAAGGCGGGUCUCUGGGCAGUAACUGACGCUGAGGAGCGAAAGCGUGGGGAGCGAACAGGAUUAGAUACCCUGGUAGUCC
RNAcentral lists this ribosomal RNA (783 nucleotides) under uncultured bacterium. Its description in RNAcentral is "bacterial SSU rRNA". It matches the Rfam family "Bacterial small subunit ribosomal RNA", at positions 8 to 796 of the family's 1533-position model. The record is from RNAcentral.